ACGACGCUGGCGGCGUGCCUAAUACAUGCAAGUCGAACGGUCUUUCUAUGGAAGCUUGCUUCCACUGAGAAGAUAGUGGCGAACGGGUGAGUAACACGUGGGUAACCUGCCCAUAAGAGGGGGAUAACAUCCGGAAACGGGUGCUAAUACCGCAUAGUUUUCUUGAUCGCAUGAUUGAGAAAGGAAAGACGGCCUUUGUGCUGUCGCUUAUGGAUGGACCCGCGGCGUAUUAGUUAGUUGGUGAGGUAACGGCUCACCAAGACGAUGAUACGUAGCCGACCUGAGAGGGUGAUCGGCCACAUUGGGACUGAGACACGGCCCAAACUCCUACGGGAGGCAGCAGUAGGGAAUCUUCCGCAAUGGACGAAAGUCUGACGGAGCAACGCCGCGUGAGUGAAAGAAGGUUUUCGGAUCGUAAAACUCUGUUGUCAGAGAAGAACAAGUUGGAGAGUAACUGCUCCAGCCUUGACGGUAUCUGACCAGAAAGCCACGGCUAACUACGUGCCAGCCGCCGC
This 515-nucleotide ribosomal RNA is filed under the name uncultured bacterium. Its description in RNAcentral is "bacterial SSU rRNA". It matches the Rfam family "Bacterial small subunit ribosomal RNA", at positions 32 to 518 of the family's 1533-position model. The record is from RNAcentral.